This 217-nucleotide unclassified non-coding RNA is filed under the name Hevea brasiliensis (rubber tree). Lineage: Eukaryota; Viridiplantae; Streptophyta; Magnoliopsida; Malpighiales; Euphorbiaceae. The record is from RNAcentral.
CUUAUAAGGGUCAAGGCUAACUAAAUUAAUUAGUUGGGUCUAACUGUUUAUCAAUGCUUGGUCCAACCCAAUAUAAGCCCAUUUACACUUUGUCGACUUACUCAUUCAUCUUUGCUUGUUCACUCUCAAUUUAAUAAUAAAACAACUUAAUCACUUAUACAAGCCCAUAUUAAAUGAAUUAAUACGUAUUAUGCCCACCACUCUCCCUGAAUUUAAU